This 230-nucleotide ribosomal RNA is filed under the name uncultured bacterium. RNAcentral describes it as "partial 16S ribosomal RNA". It matches the Rfam family "Bacterial small subunit ribosomal RNA", at positions 92 to 339 of the family's 1533-position model. The record is from RNAcentral.
UGCAGGGCGAACGGGUGAGUAACACGUUGGCACCUACCUCGAACUCAGGGAUAACCCGCUGAAAAGCGGAAUAAUACCGGAUGGUCCCGCAAGGGUAAAGAUUUAUCGGUUCGAGAGGGGCCUGCGUCCUAUCAGCUAGUUGGUAAGGUAAAAGCUUACCAAGGCUAUGACGGGUAGCUGGUUUGAGAGGAUGACCAGCCACAAUGGAACUGAGACACGGUCCAUACUCC